This is a long non-coding RNA of Sinocyclocheilus anshuiensis, 96 nucleotides long. RefSeq lists it as uncharacterized. The transcript has 3 exons. Lineage: Eukaryota; Metazoa; Chordata; Actinopteri; Cypriniformes; Cyprinidae. The record is from RefSeq and is a predicted model, not a curated record.
AUUUUUAGAAAAAUUAUCCAAAUAUGAUCCAUCAGGUUUUUAAGGAACGCAUAUUUGUUCAUCUUUCAAUUAUCAUUGUAUUGCAUUGCAUUAUAU